GUAUAGUUUAACUAGUAAAUUAAAGUCUAGGUAAGAAUUCUUCGAUUUUCUAGGGGACGAUAAGACCCUAGAAGCUUUAAAAAAGAAAAAUUUUUAGUGGUUGUAUUGUAUUUUUACUGGGGCGGUAUUAGUGUUUUAACUAUUAGUGAUAAAGAUUGAUCCUUAAUAUAAAGAUAAUUCGGCGAAGUUACUCUAGGGAUAACAGUGCGGUAUUUUUGGAAAGGCCUUAUUAAUAAAAAUGUUCGCAACCUCGAUGUUGAAUUAAGAUGUCUACAUGGGGUAGUAAAUAUGGUAGAGGGUUUGUUCAACCUUUAUAAUCUUACAUG
This 326-nucleotide ribosomal RNA is filed under the name Gammarus fossarum. Its description in RNAcentral is "partial large subunit ribosomal RNA". The stretch from base 55 to 326 matches the Rfam family "Bacterial large subunit ribosomal RNA", at positions 2078 to 2602 of the family's 2925-position model. Lineage: Eukaryota; Metazoa; Arthropoda; Malacostraca; Amphipoda; Gammaridae. The record is from RNAcentral.